CCAUUAGCGUAUAUUAAAGUUGUUGCAGUUAAAAAGCUCGUAGUUGAAUUUCGGGGUUAGUAGGUUGGUCAUGCCUCUGGUAUGUACUGGUCUCACUGAUUCCUCCUUCCUGAUGAACCUUAAUGCCAUUAAUUUGGUGUUUUGGGGAAUUUGGACUGUUACUUUGAAAAAAUUAGAGUGUUUAAAGCAAGCUAACGCUUGAAUACAUUAGCAUGGAAUAAUGAAAUAGGACGUUCGAUCCUAUUUUGUUGGUUUCUAGGAUUGACGUAAUGAUUAAUAGGGAUAGUUGGGGGCAUUAGUAUUCAAUUGUCAGAGGUGAAAUUCUUGGAUUUAUUGAAGACUAACUACUGCGAAAGCAUUUGCCAAGGAUGUUUUCAUUAAUCAAGAACGAAAGUUAGGGGAUCGAAGACGAUCAGAUACCGUCGUAGUCUUAACCAUAAACUAUGCCGACUAGGGAUCGGAUGAUGUUAAUUUUUUAAUGACUCAUUCGGCGCCUUACG
Molecule: ribosomal RNA, 500 nt
Filed under: uncultured Glomeromycotina
Lineage: Eukaryota; Fungi; Glomeromycota
Description: partial small subunit ribosomal RNA
Rfam family: Eukaryotic small subunit ribosomal RNA
Source: RNAcentral